Long non-coding RNA from Chinchilla lanigera (long-tailed chinchilla), 822 nucleotides. RefSeq lists it as uncharacterized. The transcript has 3 exons. Lineage: Eukaryota; Metazoa; Chordata; Mammalia; Rodentia; Chinchillidae. The record is from RefSeq and is a predicted model, not a curated record.
AUAUGACUGAGGGAGAGGAAUCGAGGGAAGGAAGAAGUCUCUACCCACACUCCUCAAGGAGUGACUCGGGGGACAGUCUGAAUUACGGGACUUACCGCAGCAAGUAAACAUUGCCUGAGUGGAUUGCUGUGAAAUGCUUUAUCUGAAGAUGACACUGGAAAACACUCAUCAAUUACGGAGUCCUUGUAAAGCACCAAGAGUACCCUCAAAGCUAUUGUCCAGAAAAUUGCCACUCAGAGAAAAUGUGCAGAUUGUGUCACCUGUGUGAGACAUCACGCUACACACCGGCUACUUAGAGGUGAAGGGAAGGCCCACCUCGUUUCCAGGGAAGGACUCUGCAGGGAUGGGGAGAUGAAAAAGAUGAAACUUUGGGAGGAAAUGAAAUCAUGUGACCGACCUGCAAGGAGAACCCGGACCAGAACCCUAAACUCUUGACAGCUGGGCCAAAGCAUUCUCCAGCAUUCACUGCUUGAGAAGCAGGAUGCUCUGAGAAGCAGAAAAGAAGCAAACUCGGAAAAACCUACAAGAAGGAAGUCUGAGCCACAAGUACCCGCAAAGAUAACACAAUCUUAAAAGGGCAAGUGAAUUUGAUGUGCACGCGUAUAACGUGAAAAUAAGGCAGACCUGCUAAUGUUUAAGUGAUACUGAGCAGUGGCCAGUGCUGGCCCUCCAAGAAGAGGGAGGAGGCAUGAAGCAAAGCUUUCUUUGUCCUGAAGUUUCUUGUGCUGGAAAUCUAACGUUUACCUGGGGCAGAGGAAGUCUGUUUGGUCCCCCCUCUUGCAUGGACUGGGUCCCUCAGGGAGCAGACACAGGUACCACUGU